UGGCUCUGGCAUCGAUGAAGAACGCAGCGAAAUGCGAUAAGUAAUGCGAAUCGCAGAUUCCAGUGAGUCAUCGAAUUUUUGAACGCACAUUGCGCCCCCCGGUAUUCCGGGGGGCAUGCUUGUUCGAGCGUCAGUACAUCCAUCAAGCCUAGCUUGGUCUUGGGACUCGCUAAUCGCGGUCCUUAAAUCUAGUGGCGGUCCCCCGAGGAUCAGCGCGUAGUAUCUACCCCGCGUCUGACCCCCCGGGGGGCUUGCCAGAAAUACCAUUUUUUUCUUAGGAUGACCUCGAAUCAAGUAGGGAUACCCGCUGA
Molecule: unclassified non-coding RNA, 311 nt
Filed under: uncultured fungus
Lineage: Eukaryota; Fungi
Description: partial contains 5.8S ribosomal RNA and internal transcribed spacer 2
Rfam family: 5.8S ribosomal RNA (bases 1-133)
Source: RNAcentral